RNAcentral lists this ribosomal RNA (701 nucleotides) under uncultured Oscillatoriales cyanobacterium. RNAcentral describes it as "bacterial SSU rRNA". It matches the Rfam family "Bacterial small subunit ribosomal RNA", at positions 94 to 825 of the family's 1533-position model. The record is from RNAcentral. Lineage: Bacteria; Bacillati; Cyanobacteriota; Cyanophyceae; Oscillatoriales.
AGUGGCGGUCGGGUGAGUAACGCGUGAGAAUCUGGCUUCAGGAGGGGGACAACAGUUAGAAACGACUGCUAAUACCCCAUAUGUCUACGGAUGAAACGGUGAAUUCCGCCUGAAGAUGAGCUCGCGUCGGAUUAGCUAGUUGGUGAGGUAAAGGCUCACCAAGGCGACGAUCCGUAGCUGGUCUGAGAGGAUGAUCAGCCACACUGGGACUGAGACACGGCCCAGACUCCUACGGGAGGCAGCAGUGGGGAAUUUUCCGCAAUGGGCGAAAGCCUGACGGAGCAACGCCGCGUGCGGGAAGACGGCCUGUGGGUUGUAAACCGCUUUUCUCUGGGAAGAAUAAGUUGACGGUACCAGAGGAAUCAGCAUCGGCUAACUCCGUGCCAGCAGCCGCGGUAAUACGGAGGAUGCAAGCGUUAUCCGGAAUUAUUGGGCGUAAAGCGUCCGCAGGCGGCUUAUCAAGUCUGCUGUUAAAGGUCGGGGCUCAACUCCGGUUAGGCAGUGGAAACUGAUAGGCUAGAGUGUGGUAGGGGUAGAGGGAAUUCCCAGUGUAGCGGUGAAAUGCGUAGAUAUUGGGAAGAACACCAGUGGCGAAGGCGCUCUACUGGGCCACAACUGACGCUGAGGGACGAAAGCUAGGGGAGCGAAAGGGAUUAGAUACCCCUGUAGUCCUAGCUGUAAACGAUGGACACUAGGUGUUG